This 96-nucleotide small nuclear RNA is filed under the name Panthera tigris altaica (Amur tiger). The record is from RNAcentral. Lineage: Eukaryota; Metazoa; Chordata; Mammalia; Carnivora; Felidae.
GUGCUCACUUUGGCACAAAACUUGGGGUGAUACGGAGAAGAUUAACAUGGCCCCCUGCACAAGAUGACACAAAUUUGGGAAGUGUUCCAUAUUAUA